UACCAGCACCCCGAGUGGUCGGGACGUUUUAUUGGGCCUAAGACAUCCGUAGCCGGUUCUACAAGUCUUCCGUUAAAUCCAACUGCUUAACAGGUGGGCUGCGAAAGAUACUAUAGAGCUAGGAGGCGGGAGAGGCAAGCGGUACUCGAUGGGUAGGGGUAAAAUCCGUUGAUCCAUUGAAGACCACCAGUGGCGAAGGCGGCUUGCCAGAACGCGCUCGACGGUGAGGGAUGAAAGCUGGGGGAGCAAACCGG
Molecule: ribosomal RNA, 254 nt
Filed under: uncultured bacterium
Lineage: Bacteria
Description: partial 16S ribosomal RNA
Rfam family: Archaeal small subunit ribosomal RNA
Source: RNAcentral